AGUGCAUCUCGUACCAUCAUGUGUGAUCCUGAUUGAAAUAAUACAGUUUUCACUUUGCUCGUUUCAGUCAGGUGUCUCGUCAGUUGUCUCGUCAGUUUGUGGAAAAGAAAUGCAUCGAAGACCACGCGUGAAACAAUCUGCGCAGCAAACAUAAACCCGGCUGGACCCACCGACAAUGUGUGUGUACGCGAAACAAUGUGUUCGACGGGAUGCCUCUAUACCGCCACCAACGCAGACC
Anopheles cruzii is the source of this 238-nucleotide long non-coding RNA. RefSeq lists it as uncharacterized. The record is from RefSeq and is a predicted model, not a curated record. The transcript has 3 exons. Lineage: Eukaryota; Metazoa; Arthropoda; Insecta; Diptera; Culicidae.